This 253-nucleotide ribosomal RNA is filed under the name uncultured bacterium. RNAcentral's name for it is "partial 16S ribosomal RNA". It matches the Rfam family "Bacterial small subunit ribosomal RNA", at positions 524 to 776 of the family's 1533-position model. The record is from RNAcentral.
UACGUAGGCAGCAAGCGUUGUUCGGAGUUACUGGGCGUAAAGGGUGUGUAGGCGGCUUCGUAAGUUCGGUGUGAAAUCUCCUGGCUUAACUGGGAGGGUGCGCCGAAAACUGCGGAGCUGGAGCGCAGGAGAGGAAAGCAGAAUUCCUGGUGUAGCGGUGAAAUGCGCAGAUAUCAGGAGGAACACCGGUGGCGAAGGCGGGUCUCUGGGCCGAUACUGACGCUGAGGAGCGAAAGCGUGGGGAGCGAACAGG